Molecule: unclassified non-coding RNA, 200 nt
Filed under: uncultured fungus
Lineage: Eukaryota; Fungi
Description: sequence contains ITS1
Source: RNAcentral
UUAACUAUUAUAUAGUACUCAGACGACACUGAUAUUUAGGGUUUGGGUCCUCUGGCGGGCGCGUACCAGCGGGAGCCGGUAGCCAGGCCGAGGCCUGACGGCCCGCCAAAGCAACAAAGGUAACGAUAACACAGGGUGGGAGGUCUACCCCGAAGGGCACGAACUCGGUAAUGAUCCCUCCGCAGGUUCACCUACGGAGA